This 1775-nucleotide ribosomal RNA is filed under the name Halanaerobium congolense. RNAcentral's name for it is "23S rRNA. Bacterial LSU". It matches the Rfam family "Bacterial large subunit ribosomal RNA", at positions 1184 to 2925 of the family's 2925-position model. The record is from RNAcentral. Lineage: Bacteria; Bacillati; Bacillota; Clostridia; Halanaerobiales; Halanaerobiaceae.
AAGCAUAUCACCGAAGCUGUGGACUUAUGAGUUGUUCAUAGAGUUUAUUGAAACUGUAUGAACAACUUGUAAGUGGUAGAGGAGCAUUGUGUACGGAGCGAAGCUGUACCGUAAGGAGCAGUGGACUGUACAGAAGAGAGAAUGCCGGUAUGAGUAACGAAAAAAGGAGUGAGAAUCUCCUUCGCCGAAAGUCUAAGGAUUCCUGGGGAAGGCUCGUCCUCCCAGGGUUAGUCGGGACCUAAGCUGAGGCCGAAAGGCGUAGGUGAUGGAAAAUCUGUAAAGAUUCAGAUACCACUGUAAAUUGAUUGAGUGAAGUGGUAACGCGGCAAAGAGAGUGGAGCGUGUGACUGGAAGAGCACGUAUAAGCUAAGGAGUUAGGGUAAGGAGGUAAAUCCCUUUACCCGCUAAUAACUUUUAGUGAUGUGGAGCCAAAAGAGGUGAAGCCACUUAAUAAGCCGCCAAGAAAAACCACUAACGAGAUUUACAGUGCCCGUACCGCAAACCGACACAGGUAGACGGGAAGAGAAUUCUAAGGCGCGCGAGAGAACCCUUGUUAAGGAACUCGGCAAAAUGACCCCGUAACUUCGGGAGAAGGGGUACCCAUUAGCACUAGCUGGUGGGUCGCAGUGAAAAGAUCCAAGCGACUGUUUAUCAAAAACACAGGUCUCUGCUAAGUCGUAAGACGAAGUAUAGGGGCUGACGCCUGCCCGGUGCUGGAAGGUCAAGGAGAAGGCUUAGUGCUAGCCACGAAGGUCUGAACCUAAGCCCCAGUAAACGGCGGCCGUAACUAUAACGGUCCUAAGGUAGCGAAAUUCCUUGUCGGGUAAGUUCCGACCUGCACGAAUGGCGUAACGACUUGGAUGCUGUCUCAACAAGGGACUCGGUGAAAUUAAAUUGCCUGUGAAGAUGCAGGCUACCUGCGACAGGACGGAAAGACCCCGUGGAGCUUUACUGCAGCCUGAUAUUGGGUUUUGAUGUAGAAUGUACAGGAUAGGUGGGAGACUUUGAAACUGGCAUGCCAAUGUCAGUGGAGUCGCUGGUGGGAUACCACCCUUUCUACAGCGGAAUUCUAACUGGAGGCCAUAAACUGGUCACAGGACAUUGUCAGGCGGGCAGUUUGACUGGGGCGGUCGCCUCCCAAACAGUAACGGAGGCGCUCAAAGGUUCCCUCAGUGCGGAUGGAAAUCGCACGAAGAGUGUAAAGGCAGAAGGGAGCUUAACUGCAAGACAGACAAGUCGAGCAGGUACGAAAGUAGGACUUAGUGAUCCGGCGGUAUAGUGUGGAAUUGCCGUCGCUCAACGGAUAAAAGUUACCCCGGGGAUAACAGGCUUAUCUCCCCCAAGAGUUCACAUCGACGGGGAGGUUUGGCACCUCGAUGUCGGCUCAUCGCAUCCUGGAGCUGAAGCAGGUUCCAAGGGUUUGGCUGUUCGCCAAUUAAAGCGGUACGCGAGCUGGGUUCAGAACGUCGUGAGACAGUUCGGUCCCUAUCCGUCGCAGGCGAAAGAUACUUGAGAAGAGCUGUCCCCAGUACGAGAGGACCGGGAUGGACACACCGAUGGUGAAUCAGUUGUUCCACCAGGAGCAUAGCUGAGCAGCUAAGUGUGGAAAAGAUAAGCGCUGAAAGCAUCUAAGCGUGAAACAGACUUCAAGAUUAGGUAUCUCACUUUGUUAAGAAGGUAAGAUCCCUUAAAGAUGAUAAGGUAGAUAGGCCAGAGGUGUAAGUGUAGUAAUACAUUAAGCUAACUGGUACUAAUAGAUCGAGGGCUUAAUCAUU